Molecule: long non-coding RNA, 139 nt
Organism: Etheostoma cragini (Arkansas darter)
Lineage: Eukaryota; Metazoa; Chordata; Actinopteri; Perciformes; Percidae
Exons: 4
Source: RefSeq, a predicted model, not a curated record
GAAACCAUGUAACAAGUGAGUGUUUACGGAUUGGUCUGUUUUCUGCCAAGAAAUUUGGGCCGUUUUGUUUGUCUUUGGCAUGAAAACAUCUUCAUUUUUGGCAUUACUGCUUGCAAUUCUAAUCCUACAUUUCCCACGA